AUGCAGUCGAACGAUGAUGCCCAGCUUGCUGGGUGGAUUAGUGGCGAACGGGUGAGUAACACGUGAGUAACCUGCCCCUGACUCUGGGAUAAGCGUUGGAAACGACGUCUAAUACUGGAUACGACUGCCGGCCGCAUGGUCUGGUGGUGGAAAGAUUUUUUGGUUGGGGAUGGACUCGCGGCCUAUCAGCUUGUUGGUGAGGUAAUGGCUCACCAAGGCGACGACGGGUAGCCGGCCUGAGAGGGUGACCGGCCACACUGGGACUGAGACACGGCCCAGACUCCUACGGGAGGCAGCAGUGGGGAAUAUUGCACAAUGGGCGAAAGCCUGAUGCAGCAACGCCGCGUGAGGGAUGACGGCCUUCGGGUUGUAAACCUCUUUUAGUAGGGAAGAAGCGAAAGUGACGGUACCUGCAGAAAAAGCACCGGCUAACUACGUGCCAGCAGCCGCGGUAAUACGUAGGGUGCAAGCGUUGUCCGGAAUUAUUGGGCGUAAAGAGCUCGUAGGCGGUUUGUCGCGUCUGCUGUGAAAUCCCGAGGCUCAACCUCGGGCUUGCAGUGGGUACGGGCAGACUAGAGUGCGGUAGGGGAGAUUGGAAUUCCUGGUGUAGCGGUGGAAUGCGCAGAUAUCAGGAGGAACACCGAUGGCGAAGGCAGAUCUCUGGGCCGUAACUGACGCUGAGGAGCGAAAGCAUGGGGAG
This 700-nucleotide ribosomal RNA is filed under the name Curtobacterium sp. RNAcentral describes it as "bacterial SSU rRNA". It matches the Rfam family "Bacterial small subunit ribosomal RNA", at positions 55 to 768 of the family's 1533-position model. Lineage: Bacteria; Bacillati; Actinomycetota; Actinomycetes; Micrococcales; Microbacteriaceae. The record is from RNAcentral.